UACGUAGGGUGCAAGCGUUGUCCGGAAUUAUUGGGCGUAAAGAGCUCGUAGGCGGUUUGUCGCGUCUGCUGUGAAAAUCCAGGGCUUAACCCUGGACCUGCAGUGGGUACGGGCAGACUGGAGUGCGGUAGGGGAGAUCGGAAUUCCUGGUGUAGCGGUGAAAUGCGCAGAUAUCAGGAGGAACACCGGUGGCGAAGGCGGUUCUCUGGGCAUUACCUGACGCUGAGGAGCGAAAGUGUGGGGAGCGAACAGG
This 253-nucleotide ribosomal RNA is filed under the name uncultured bacterium. RNAcentral's name for it is "partial 16S ribosomal RNA". It matches the Rfam family "Bacterial small subunit ribosomal RNA", at positions 524 to 776 of the family's 1533-position model. The record is from RNAcentral.